Trematosphaeria pertusa is the source of this 72-nucleotide non-coding RNA. The record is from the annotation of a RefSeq genome assembly. Lineage: Eukaryota; Fungi; Ascomycota; Dothideomycetes; Pleosporales; Trematosphaeriaceae.
GGCCCGGUAGCUCAGUGGUAGAGCGACAGAUUGCAGAUCUGAAGGUCUCGCGUUCGAUUCGCGAUCGGGCCU